Molecule: ribosomal RNA, 870 nt
Filed under: Cardinium endosymbiont of Brevipalpus phoenicis
Lineage: Bacteria; Pseudomonadati; Bacteroidota; Cytophagia; Cytophagales; Amoebophilaceae
Description: bacterial SSU rRNA
Rfam family: Bacterial small subunit ribosomal RNA
Source: RNAcentral
GGCCGCCAUGGCCCGCGGGAUUCCCAUACAAUCUUGCUAGCGCAUGCCCUUAAGAUAAAAGCUCCGGCGGUGUAAAAUGAGCGUGCGUCCUAUUAGCUAGUUGGAGAGGUAAUGGCUCACCAAGGCUACGAUGGGUAGGGGUUCUUAGUGGAAGGUCCCCCACACUGGCACUGAGAUACGGGCCAGACUCCUACGGGAGGCAGCAGUAGGGAAUAUUGGUCAAUGGGCGCAAGCCUGAACCAGCCAUGCCGAGUGCAGGAUGAAGGCUCUCUGAGUUGUAAACUGCUUUUGUACAGGAGCAAAAAAGCCCCUGCGGGGGCUCUUGAGAGUACUGUAAGAAUAAGCACCGGCUAAUUCCGUGCCAGCAGCCGCGGUAAUACGGAAGGUGCAAGCGUUAUCCGGUUUUAUUGGGUUUAAAGGGUGCGUAGGCGGCUUAUUAAGUCAGUUGUGAAAUCCUAGUGCUUAACGCUAGAACUGCGAUUGAUACUAUUAGGCUUGAGUUAAGAAGAGGUAGGCAGAAUUUAUGGUGUAGUAGUGAAAUGCUUAGAUAUCAUAAGGAAUACCAAUAGCGUAGGCAGCUUACUGGUCUUUAACUGACGCUGAGGCACGAAAGCGUGGGGAGCAAACAGGAUUAGAUACCCUGGUAGUCCACGCCGUAAACGAUGAUCACUCGAUAUACAUGAAACCUCGUGUGUGUCUAAGCGAAAGCGUUAAGUGAUCCACCUGGGGAGUAUACUCGCAAGGGUGAAACUCAAAGGAAUUGACGGGGGUCCGCACAAGGGGUGGAGUAUGUGGUUUAAUUCGAUAAUACGCGAGAAACAGGACCUGGGCUAGAAUGUAUUUGACAAAUCCCGCGGCCAGGCGGCCGGA